This 253-nucleotide unclassified non-coding RNA is filed under the name uncultured Alphaproteobacteria bacterium. RNAcentral describes it as "contains 16S-23S intergenic spacer region". It matches the Rfam family "Bacterial small subunit ribosomal RNA", at positions 524 to 776 of the family's 1533-position model. Lineage: Bacteria; Pseudomonadati; Pseudomonadota; Alphaproteobacteria. The record is from RNAcentral.
UACGAAGGGGGCGAGCGUUGUUCGGAAUCACUGGGCUUAAAGCGUACGUAGGCGGAUUGGCAAGUCAGAAGUGAAAUCCCGGGGCUCAACCCCGGAACUGCUUUUGAAACUGCCUGUCUAGAGUCCCGGAGAGGUUGGCGGAAUUCCGAGUGUAGAGGUGAAAUUCGCAGAUAUUCGGAGGAACACCAGUGGCGUAGGCGGCCAACUGGACGGGAACUGACGCUGAGGUACGAAAGCAUGGGGAGCAAACAGG